RNAcentral lists this non-coding RNA (46 nucleotides) under Prorocentrum micans. The record is from RNAcentral. Lineage: Eukaryota; Dinophyceae; Prorocentrales; Prorocentraceae.
UAGGAAAUUGAAGAAGGAAAAAAAAAAAAAAAAAAAAAAAAAAAAA